Molecule: ribosomal RNA, 413 nt
Filed under: uncultured eukaryote
Lineage: Eukaryota
Description: bacterial SSU rRNA
Rfam family: Eukaryotic small subunit ribosomal RNA
Source: RNAcentral
UAAUAGCGUAUAUUAAAGUUGUUGCAGUUAAAAAGCUCGUAGUCGGAUGUCGGGCUCGGGCAGGCUGUCGGCUUCGGUCGGACGGCAGGCUCGGGUCUUUCUGCCUGAGGAUCCCGUUGCACUUAAUUGUGGGGCGUGGGGACGCAGGCCGUUUACUUUGAAAAAAUUAGAGUGUUCAAAGCAGGCCAACGCUUGAAUACAUUAGCAUGGAAUAAUGGAAUAGGACUUUGGUUCUAUUUUGUUGGUUUCUAGGACCGAAGUAAUGAUUAAUAGGGACAGUGGGGGCAUUAGUAUUUAAUUGUCAGAGGUGAAAUUCUUGGAUUUAUGAAAGACUAACUACUGCGAAAGCAUUUGCCAAGGAUGUUUUCACUGAUCAAGAACGAAAGUUAGGGGAUCGCAGAUGAUCAGAUACC